Molecule: long non-coding RNA, 3367 nt
Organism: Struthio camelus australis
Lineage: Eukaryota; Metazoa; Chordata; Aves; Struthioniformes; Struthionidae
Source: RefSeq, a predicted model, not a curated record
CGCAGGAGGAGCAGGCAGAAACUACCCCUACCGAGACAAGAGCACAACCGGGAACACGUUCCUGAAUGAAGCUGACACAGAUCUUCUGUUGCAAAGUGGAACCUAAGGAUAACAACUACAAAUGACCACUCGAGCCAAGUAACUGAAAUAUCCAGAGACAAUGGCAGUAGAACAGGAUCCUGCAAGCAAAAGGUAAGGCUAAAGUGAGAAUGAAGGUUCCUCACCACAGAGCUCUGUGGGAAUUCUUACAACCUUUUCCUCAUUGUGUUUGACUUUUAUAAGGCUUAUUACAUAACAACAAUGCUAUCAACUCUUUAAUGAUAGCAAAAAUGUGCUCUUCUCAUCAGAAAAAAAAACAACAUAUGUAUUAGUUUUGACAGCUCUGGUUGGAUUUAUUUGGAGGCAGAAUGAGCUGUGGAAAAAACAGCGCUCUUUAGACAGUACUUAAUGUUAUGGUCGAACAUGAGGUUGAUAACACAUGACAGCAUCUACAACAUUACCUAUGAAAUUCAUCAGAAUAAUCAUUUCUGAACACUAGCUUGGGAAUUGAUCACUGCCAGAACAUGUUCCACAUGUGCACCUACCCACACGCUCCAAGGCUAGACAUGUCCUUGAAUGCUGCUACCUCACGGCCCGCAUGCUUAAACCUCAUAAGCUUGAGCUUACAGAGGGGUCAACAGCUCAGGAGCUGCCUUCAAAACUAGAGCAGCAGUGCAAGCUGUAAGGAGAGCAGUGAGCAGAUAUUGAGGGAGGCAGAUGGCUGGGCAAGGUCUCCCAAUAGGAAAAGUCUCAACUAGAAAGACUUCCUGGAGGGCAGAUGUCCAAGCACCAGGGCAGUGUGAGAGGAGGAAAUGAAUCUGCAAAGGUGGAAGAGAAGGAGGAAGAGGGACAGGCACAGCAGGAGAGGAGAGAAAGGGAAACACAGCAAGGAGACAGAGAUGAACUUGAAAGUGCAAGGCAAUCCUCUUUUCGGUUCACUAAUGACUGAGCUAAGAAGAAUAUAGCAACCAGAAGGAGCCAGCCCUGGCUCCCGAAGCAAUGUUGUAUGCCCCAACAUACAACCCAGGGCCCAAAAAGGGCUCUGAGCUGGCACCCAGCAGCCCUUAUUUCCAUGGCGUGCUCAAUGUAGGGAACUAUCUCCCUUUCACAUGCAGAGAAGAUAUAUCACAGGAGCUUUACAGUAAGGUACUUUUCACCUCCAUUCUGUACUUGGAAUAUUUGGGUUUUAUGUGCUAAAGCCUGCGGCCCAAAAGGGACAUCCCACAAAAGCCUGCGGCCCAAAAGGGACAUCCCACGAGCGGGAACUUGCAGAAGAUUAAAGAUUAAUCAUUAAUGCUGCUUUGCCAUGUAAGCAAUUUUGAGAAUUGGGAAUGCUUAUAACAUUACCUGUCACUAGUCAUCAUGUAUCAGCAUUGACUCGUCAUCUCUCAUACUAGGAGAGAUUGAAAAAAACUGGGAUUGUUUACUUGGGAAGGAUAGUGGUAGGUUGUUCAUAAUAAUGAAUAGUCUAAAGGAGACCAGUAAAGUCUACCUUCUCUGUUCCCUAACACAAGAAAAAUCAUUAGUGCUUUAGGACUUAAACCCUACUUUCACUACAGAGAUUGUAGGCUUGCUGCAUUUUCUUCAUUUCUGUCGGCAACAAGUUCUGAUUUGGUGUGGUAAUUCCUACCUUAUUGAUUCGUGAUGCAGUAACUCCCAGAAUCCCUGCAAUUAUAGAUACUUUAGAGACACCACAAGCAAAAGUCCCUAUACCAGAAAGCUGUUAGUCUAAUUAUUCAAACAUCAAAGCUGUUCUCAAACUUGUCAGAUAACCAUGCCAGUCAACCUAAAGAAACUGCCUGAAACUUUCAAAGUCACCUAAGGGGUUUGCUCCAAUAGCUCAUUAAUAGGGCAAAAGAUAUCCAUUAAUUUUAAUAGAAAAUCAAGUAUUUAGGUAUUCAGAUCACUCCGAGACAGGUUUCCAUCUUCUUUUUUUUAUGUUGAAAUUAAUCAUAUUAUUUAGAGGAACUUCCCUACAGUUUAUUAUAUAUUUCCUACCAUUGCUUUGCCUCCAGAGUGAUCAAAUUUGGUCCACCUAGGUUUUAGGUAUAAGCAGAAAUAGACACAAGUUUGAGAAGAAUCAGCAUCAUCGGGUAUACCAAUUUUUAUGCUGAAAGUAUCCAUCUGCUCUGAAAAAGUGGGUGAAUAUAAAGGAGCUAAGAUUGAGUCAUUAUUUUUUAAAAUUGCACCAUGCUAAUUAAAAUAUGACCUUCAUCUAAUUAUCAUGUCCACUUCCAGACUGCUAUAGCUCUAUAAAUGUGCAGGGUUUUCUAAUGAGCACAGCAUAAGAAGUGAAAAUGUGUUUCCCCAGGCAGGAUAUCAAACUGUUUCUGAAAAUCAAUGGGUUUUAGUCAUUUUAAAAUAAGGCUGUCAAACAAUGCCUUUAAACAGAACUUCCUGAAUUCACUUCCAGACAACUUGGACUUCAGUUUGGCAUAUAUCUUUAUGUAAGCAUAGAUGAUUGCAAAAGCAUGUUAAACUAUCAAUCAAAGCUAACUAGUACAUUUUCAAAAGGGUGCCAGUGUCACACAUUCAUGUGAAUAACAGGAAUGGCAGAUUCCUUUGGUAUAUUAGCAACAGUUUUGAGAUGCACAGCAGACAGUUAUUUUAUCAUAUGCAAAAUGUGUAUGUCUGCUUCGUACACUGAGAAUAUAAUAGUGAGGAAAAGCAGUUAUUGCUGUGGCUCUGUUAAUAAUCAUGAUCUCUCCAGCAGAAAAUACACAUGCACAAAGCUACCCAAGAAGGCUUAUGAUGGCGAACACUUUCUAACACUAACUUUUCUAUGGCACUAUCGUAUUUUCAAAUCAAAUGAAAAAAGAGCAAGUCAUUCUCUUCAGGGUAAACUGCCACUUUGUGAUUCCUCAUCACUUUCCUGAAGCACAUCCCAGGAGCACAGCACUUUCCAGGGUCACCACUUGCUCCCCAGAAGCAGCAUUUUGCAUCAUCCCCCUUCUCUGGGGGGACAGUUCAGCUGCUGAGAAACAGACUUAAGCUCUGCUUUCUCCUACUCCUCCUACCCACUUGCUUGAUAUGUUUUAGACUCUUGCAGGGUUUUUUUCUCUUUUUUUCUGCCUAAGUAGGCAUUCUUGCUAUAUAUGCUGAACAUGAGGCUGUGCUAAGGUUACUGAUGGAUUAAUGCAAGGGCAAGCCUUGAUUAGAGAACAGGUAACCUCGGCUUUGCAGCGUUCACAGUAACCAUCUCCUGGUCUGCUCACUAACACAAAUUUCUCAUUUCUUUUGCAUGGAAUUCACCACAUAACCACGGCCAGGCUGAGAAAGGCUUGUGAGAAUUUCCAAACUCCAACUGUUGCCCUGGGGGAGCUGAUAG